This 208-nucleotide ribosomal RNA is filed under the name uncultured bacterium. RNAcentral describes it as "partial 16S ribosomal RNA". It matches the Rfam family "Bacterial small subunit ribosomal RNA", at positions 524 to 730 of the family's 1533-position model. The record is from RNAcentral.
UACGUAGGUGGCGAGCGUUGCCCCGGAUUUAUUGGGCGUAAAGCGUGUGCAGGCGGUUCGUUAAGUCCGUUGUGAAAGCUCCCGGCUCAACUGGGAGAGGUCUUCGGAUACUGGCGGACUCGAGGGAGGCAGAGGAAGGUGGAAUUCCCGGUGUAGUGGUGAAAUGCGUAGAGAUCGGGAGGAACACCAGUGGCGAAGGCGGCCUUCU